Non-coding RNA from Aedes aegypti (yellow fever mosquito), 46 nucleotides. Lineage: Eukaryota; Metazoa; Arthropoda; Insecta; Diptera; Culicidae. The record is from Rfam.
CCAUCGGCCCUUUUCAGGGUCAUCAAAUUAGUAGAAAAGAGUUAAA